AAACCAGCACCUCAAGUGGUCAGGAGGAUUAUUGGGCCUAAAGCAUCCGUAGCCUGUUCUAUAAGUUUCCGGUUAAAUCCAUUAGCUCAACUAAUGGGCUGCCGAAAAUACUGUAGAACUAGGGAGUGGGAGAGGUAGACGGUAUUCGGUAGGAAGGGGUAAAAUCCUUUGAUCUAUUGAUGACCACCUGUGGCGAAGGCGGUCUACCAGAACACGUUCGACGGUGAGGGAUGAAAGCUGGGGGAGCAAACCGGAUUAGAAACCCCGGUAGUCC
Molecule: ribosomal RNA, 274 nt
Filed under: uncultured bacterium
Lineage: Bacteria
Description: partial 16S ribosomal RNA
Rfam family: Archaeal small subunit ribosomal RNA
Source: RNAcentral